CUUUCUUUCACCGAAUGCUUGCAUUCACCGAAAGAAGCUUAGUGGCGAACGGGUGAGUAACACGUAGGCAACCUGCCCAAAAGAGGGGGAUAACACUUGGAAACAGGUGCUAAUACCGCAUAACCAUGAACACCGCAUGAUGUUCAUGUAAAAGACGGCUUUUGCUGUCACUUUUGGAUGGGCCUGCGGCGUAUUAACUUGUUGGUGGGGUAACGGCCUACCAAGGUGAUGAUACGUAGCCGAACUGAGAGGUUGAUCGGCCACAUUGGGACUGAGACACGGCCCAAACUCCUACGGGAGGCAGCAGUAGGGAAUCUUCCACAAUGGACGCAAGUCUGAUGGAGCAACGCCGCGUGAAUGAAGAAGGCCUUCGGGUCGUAAAAUUCUGUUGUCAGAGAAGAACGUGCGUGAGAGUAACUGUUCACGUAUUGACGGUAUCUGACCAGAAAGCCACGGCUAACUACGUGCCAGCAGCCGCGGUAAUACGUAGGUGGCGAGCGUUGUCCGGAUUUAUUGGGCGUAAAGGGAACGCAGGCGGUCUUUUAAGUCUGAUGUGAAAGCCUUCGGCUUAACCGAAGUAGUGCAUUGGAAACUGGAAGACUUGAGUGCAGAAGAGGAGAGUGGAACUCCAUGUGUAGCGGUGAAAUGCGUAGAUAUAUGGAAGAACACCAAUGGCGAAAGCGGCUCUCUGGUCUGUAACUGACGCUGAGGUUCGAAAGCGUGGGUAGCAAACAGGAUUAGAUACCCUGGUAGUCCACGCCGUAAACGAUGAGUGCUAAGUGUUGGAGGGUUUCCGCCCUUCAGUGCUGCAGCUAACGCAUUAAGCACUCCGCCUGGGGAGUACGGUCGCAAGACUGCAACUCAAAGGAAUUGACGG
RNAcentral lists this ribosomal RNA (877 nucleotides) under uncultured bacterium. RNAcentral's name for it is "bacterial SSU rRNA". It matches the Rfam family "Bacterial small subunit ribosomal RNA", at positions 71 to 916 of the family's 1533-position model. The record is from RNAcentral.